This 481-nucleotide ribosomal RNA is filed under the name Potamopyrgus antipodarum. Its description in RNAcentral is "partial 16S ribosomal RNA". It matches the Rfam family "Bacterial large subunit ribosomal RNA", at positions 1817 to 2568 of the family's 2925-position model. The record is from RNAcentral. Lineage: Eukaryota; Metazoa; Mollusca; Gastropoda; Littorinimorpha; Tateidae.
CGCUCUUUGGAAUUAAUACAUAAAGAGUCGAGCCUGCCCAGUGAUAUAUAUUUAACGGCCGCGGUACUCUGACCGUGCAAAGGUAGCAUAAUCAUUUGCCUUAUAAUUGAAGGCUAGUAUGAAUGGUUUGACGAAAACAAUACUGUCUCUCUCUAAUUUUGUAGAACUUGAUUUUUAGGUGAAGAAGCCUAAAUAAAAUUGAAAGACAAGAAGACCCUAUCGAGCUUAAAAAAAUUUUGUUAAAAUAAAAUGACUAUAAAAGAACAUCUGUACCAAAAAAUUUUAGUUGGGGCGACUAAGGAACAUACAAAGCUUCCAUUACAGUAAUAAAGGCUUUUUAGCUAUGAUCCAAAAUCUUUGAUUAAAAGAAUUAGUUACCGUAGGGAUAACAGCAUAAUCUUUUUUGAGAGUUCUUAUCGAAAAAAAGGUUUGUGACCUCGAUGUUGGACUAGAAUAUCCUAAAUGAUGCAGAAGUCUUUAA